AUUGAACGCUGGCGGCAUGCUUUACACAUGCAAGUCGAACGGUAACAGGGAGCUUGCUCCGCUGACGAGUGGCGAACGGGUGAGUAAUGCGUCGGAACGUGCCGAGUAGUGGGGGAUAACGCAGCGAAAGUUGUGCUAAUACCGCAUACGUACUGAGGUAGAAAGUGGGGGACCUUCGGGCCUCACGCUAUUCGAGCGGCCGACGUCUGAUUAGCUAGUAGGUGAGGUAAAGGCUCACCUAGGCGACGAUCAGUAGCGGGUCUGAGAGGAUGAUCAGCCACACCGGGACUGAGACACGGCCCAGACUCCUACGGGAGGCAGCAGUGGGGAAUUUUGGACAAUGGGCGAAAGCCUGAUCCAGCCGUGCCGCGUGUCUGAAGAAGGCCUUCGGGUUGUAAAGGACUUUUGUCGGGGAGGAAAUCCCCAGUGCUAAUACCGCUGGGGGAUGACAGUACCCGAAGAAUAAGCACCGGCUAACUACGUGCCAGCCGCCGCGGUAA
Molecule: ribosomal RNA, 500 nt
Filed under: uncultured bacterium
Lineage: Bacteria
Description: partial 16S ribosomal RNA
Rfam family: Bacterial small subunit ribosomal RNA
Source: RNAcentral